Long non-coding RNA from Bos taurus (domestic cattle), 393 nucleotides. The record is from Ensembl. Lineage: Eukaryota; Metazoa; Chordata; Mammalia; Artiodactyla; Bovidae.
CCCCACCCUGGCUCAGACGGCCGCUCCCCUGUCACCUCCUGUCACAAGCCGCAGCCCCUGCCGUGCUCCAGCGGGGCCAGAACAACAGUGUGUUCCCAAGACGGGUUCUCAACGGGAUCUGCAGCCCCCCCAGAGCGGAGGCACCCCUUGUCCAAGCAGAUGAGGAAACUUUGGCCUGGAGAGGGAGCCUGACUCGCUGGGUCCCGCAGCUGGUUAAUUGCCAGCCAGGGCCACUUGCCAUUUCUUCUGCAAAGGGUGGCAGCCGUUGCUGGCUCUGAAAUCGCAGACUCUGGCAGCAGGAAGGGACCUGAGGGACCGGCCCAGUGGUUUUCAAAGUGGAGCUCUGACAGACCUCGCGGGGCUCCCUGAGAUGAACAGGUGUGCAGCUGGAGC